UGGGGGAUUUUGGACAAUGGGCGCAAGCCUGAUCCAGCAAUGCCGCGUGCAGGAUGAAGGCCUUCGGGUUGUAAACUGCUUUUGUACGGAACGAAAAGCUUCUGGUUAAUACCUGGGAGUCAUGACGGUACCGUAAGAAUAAGCACCGGCUAACUACGUGCCAGCAGCCGCGGUAAUACGUAGGGUGCGAGCGUUAAUCGGAAUUACUGGGCGUAAAGCGUGCGCAGGCGGUUUUGUAAGUCUGAUGUGAAAUCCCCGGGCUCAACCUGGGAAUUGCAUUGGAGACUGCAAGGCUAGAAUCUGGCAGAGGGGGGUAGAAUUCCACGUGUAGCAGUGAAAUGCGUAGAUAUGUGGAGGAACACCGGUGGCGAAGGCAAUCCCCUGGGCCUGCACUGACGCUCAUGCACGAAAGCGUGGGGAGCAAACA
RNAcentral lists this ribosomal RNA (427 nucleotides) under uncultured bacterium. RNAcentral describes it as "bacterial SSU rRNA". It matches the Rfam family "Bacterial small subunit ribosomal RNA", at positions 355 to 774 of the family's 1533-position model. The record is from RNAcentral.